RNAcentral lists this ribosomal RNA (960 nucleotides) under Triticum aestivum (bread wheat). Its description in RNAcentral is "partial small subunit ribosomal RNA". Lineage: Eukaryota; Viridiplantae; Streptophyta; Magnoliopsida; Poales; Poaceae. The record is from RNAcentral.
AUGGCGCUGGAAGCUGUGGUGUUCCCGCAUGAGCACCUCGCGUGCAGCACGGACAAGGUGGCCGCGGCGAUGUCCAUGUACGCGCCGUCGCUGGGCCGCGGCAUCAGCAUUGUCGACGAGUUCGAGGAGAAGGGCGGCGUGGUGCUCCAAGAAGAGGUGCCCGGCGCCACCGCCUGGGCCGCGGCCUUCGAGGGGAACUGGGAGGAGAAUCACUGCCGGCCUGGGCCCGUGUCGCCGCCGGCUGCUGUCGCCCCGACAAGGCCCGCAGCGUCCGGCCGCGGCAAGGCCUCGUCGUCCGCGGCCGCGCGGAGGCGGCGGCGGCGCCCCAAGGCGGUGAAGAACAGGGAGGAGACGGAGAGCCAGCGGCGCAACCACAUCGCCGUGGAGCGCAACCGGCGGCGCCAGAUGAACGACUACCUGGCCGUGCUCCGGUCCGCCAUGCCGCCCUCCUACGCGCAGCGGGGUGACCAGGCGUCGAUCGUGGCCGGGGCCAUCAACUUCGUCAAGGAGCUGGAGCAGCUGCUGCAGUCGCUGGAGGCGCAGAAGCGGCGGCGCGCGCAGCUGGCGUCGACGCCGCCGUUCGCCGGGUUCUUCACGUCCCCUCAGUAUUCUACGGGUGCGGGCGCGGGCGCGGGCACUGCCGACGGCUCCGGGGACGCCGAGAGCCGCCGCGGGGCCCGGCGGGGCGUGGCCGACGUGGAGGUGGCCGUGGCGGAGAGCCACGCGAGCGUGAAGGUGCUGGCGCCGCGGCGGCCGAAGCAGCUGGUGAGGAUGGUGGUGGCGAUGCAGUGCCUUGGCCUCACCGUGCUCCACCUCAACGCCACCGCCACCGCCGACCACCUGGUCUUCUACUCCUUCAGCCUCAGGAUGGAGGAGGAGUGCCGGCUGUCAUCGGUGGACGAGAUCGCGGCGGCGGUGCACCAGAUGGUCGCCGAGGUGCACGCCGGAGGACCGUGCUAG